UGAACCUUCGGGGAACGAUAACGGCGUCGAGCGGCGGACGGGUGAGUAAUGCCUAGGAAAUUGCCCUGAUGUGGGGGAUAACCAUUGGAAACGAUGGCUAAUACCGCAUAACACCUACGGGUCAAAGAGGGGGACCUCUAGUUGGUGAGGUAAUGGCUCACCAAGGCGACGAUCCCUAGCUGGUCUGAGAGGAUGAUCAGCCACACUGGAACUGAGACACGGUCCAGACUCCUACGGGAGGCAGCAGUGGGGAAUAUUGCACAAUGGGCGCAAGCCUGAUGCAGCCAUGCCGCGUGUCUUUCAGUCGUGAGGAAGGUAGUGUAGUUAAUAGCUGCAUUAUUUGACGUUAGCGACAGAAGAAGCACCGGCUAACUCCGUGCCAGCAGCCGCGGUAAUACGGAGGGUGCGAGCGUUAAUCGGAAUUACUGGGCGUAAAGCGCAUGCAGGUGGUUUGUUAAGUCAGAUGUGAAAGCCCGGGGCUCAACCUCGGAAUUGCAUUUGAAACUGGCAGACUAGA
This 517-nucleotide ribosomal RNA is filed under the name Aliivibrio fischeri. Its description in RNAcentral is "bacterial SSU rRNA". It matches the Rfam family "Bacterial small subunit ribosomal RNA", at positions 68 to 645 of the family's 1533-position model. The record is from RNAcentral. Lineage: Bacteria; Pseudomonadati; Pseudomonadota; Gammaproteobacteria; Vibrionales; Vibrionaceae.